This 95-nucleotide transfer RNA is filed under the name Trametes sanguinea. Its description in RNAcentral is "tRNA-Arg". It matches the Rfam family "tRNA". Rfam says of the family: Transfer RNA (tRNA) molecules are approximately 80 nucleotides in length. Their secondary structure includes four short double-helical elements and three loops (D, anti-codon, and T loops). Further hydrogen bonds mediate the characteristic L-shaped molecular structure. tRNAs have two regions of fundamental functional importance: the anti-codon, which is responsible for specific mRNA codon recognition, and the 3' end, to which the tRNAs corresponding amino acid is attached (by aminoacyl-tRNA synthetases). tRNAs cope with the degeneracy of the genetic code in two manners: having more than one tRNA (with a specific anti-codon) for a particular amino acid; and 'wobble' base-pairing, i.e. permitting non-standard base-pairing at the 3rd anti-codon position. Lineage: Eukaryota; Fungi; Basidiomycota; Agaricomycetes; Polyporales; Polyporaceae. The record is from RNAcentral.
GGCCGCCUGGCGUAAUGGCAACGCGUCUGACUACGACGUUCCACGGGUUGGGAUCCGUUAUCAGGAGAUUGCAGGUUCGACCCCUGCGGUGGUCA